Molecule: long non-coding RNA, 643 nt
Organism: Myodes glareolus (Bank vole)
Lineage: Eukaryota; Metazoa; Chordata; Mammalia; Rodentia; Cricetidae
Source: RefSeq, a predicted model, not a curated record
AGGGCUGUCUUCUUUCUCCUCUCUCUGUCGGUGGGUAACCACCCCCACCCUCACCCUGCUCUCUAGCCCCCUUCCCUUUCUCUCUCCAUCUCGUGGACUCUCCCAUAGGGAGACUCCCACCCACAGCCAGCUUCUCCCUCCUCCGCCCUCCCUCCACAGAGAAUGCCAAGUCUGCAGCUUUCCUGCGACCUUGAACAGGCAGCAGCUCCGUGCUUGCCUGGGAGAGCCUCGGGGAGGGGCCUAAGAGCUGAGCCCUGCAGAGGUUCCAGGAGAGAUGACAUUCCACCUUUCAGAUGAGGAAACCAAGUCAGCAAAGGCAGACAGCUGGACAUACAACCCAGGCUAGCUUGACUCUUGAGCCUCCUGCCUCUGCUUCCUGAAUUGUGGUAACUGAGGUAUGUACCAGCCUGCCAACACUGCACAUUUUCGUGAAACCUGGGUAGAGUGUGUGCCACUGAGAACAGGACAACCCCUCCCUCCCAUGGGGCAAGACUUGGGCCUUCUCUCUACACGUCUCCCCAAACCUGUGAUACUGUGCUCUCGGCUGCAGGACACAACCCUCUGGGACUCUUUCCGCUCUACCUCUCGGUUAACUGAUGUAAUGGAGGUUUGGAUGAAAAUGUCCCUGCAUAAACUCGUACAU